This 604-nucleotide ribosomal RNA is filed under the name uncultured bacterium. RNAcentral describes it as "bacterial SSU rRNA". It matches the Rfam family "Bacterial small subunit ribosomal RNA", at positions 338 to 953 of the family's 1533-position model. The record is from RNAcentral.
CCUACGGGAGGCAGCAGUGGGGAAUCUUGUGCAAUGGACGAAAGUCUGACACAGCCACGCCGCGUGCGGGAAGAAGGCCUUCGGGUUGUAAACCGCUUUCAGCAGGAACGAAAAUGACGGUACCUGCAGAAGAAGAUGCGGCCAACUACGUGCCAGCAGCCGCGGUGAUACGUAGGCAUCAAGCGUUGUCCGGAUUUAUUGGGCGUAAAGAGCUCGUAGGCGGUUCAGCAAGUCGGGUGUGAAAACUCUGGGCUUAACCCCAGAGCCUGCACUCGAAACUGCUGUGACUAGAGUUCGGUAGGGGAGCAGGGAAUUCCUAGUGUAGCGGUGAAAUGCGCAGAUAUUAGGAGGAACACCAAUGGCGAAGGCACUGCUCUGGGCCGAUACUGACGCUGAGGAGCGAGAGCGUGGGUAGCAAACAGGAUUAGAUACCCUGGUAGUCCACGCCGUAAACGAUGGGCACUAGGUGUGGGUCUCUAACCAACGAGAUCUGCGCCGUCGCUAACGCAUUAAGUGCCCCGCCUGGGGAGGUACGGUCGCGAGACGAAACUACAANAGAGUAGUAGCGNGAGAGUGCCGACGGACGACGACGAGGGAGGAGGNG